Molecule: long non-coding RNA, 1132 nt
Organism: Megalobrama amblycephala (Wuchang bream)
Lineage: Eukaryota; Metazoa; Chordata; Actinopteri; Cypriniformes; Xenocyprididae
Exons: 2
Source: RefSeq, a predicted model, not a curated record
UCAGGUUACCAGUUAAAAGAUUAAAAAUGAUUUAAAGAUAAAGUUGUAAGCUAAGAAAAUGAAGAAGAGAGGAAAGUUCCAGAAGGAAAACUGCUUUGUCCAAUAGCGGCUCUCAUUUCUGUGACUGACUCUCCAAAGAGCCAGUGUUAGCAGCACCUCCAUAAGUCCCGCCCACAGGCUGCGCCGGCGCUGCUGCACUGCCAGCGUGAGUCAGAGGAGGAGAAAGAGUCAGAGAGAGAGAGCCAGUGAGAGAAGCAGCUGUGAGAAAAUAGAUCGAAUACAAUAAAUACUUUGAAUAUAUCUGAAGUUAUCACCUUGGCUGGGUUUUUUUGUUUUUAUGUUUCUUCCUACGUGAUCUGCGAGAGUUUCCUGUUUUGUGCCAUAUUUAAUCCUUUUGGAAGAGGAAUCGUCUGUGUAUCGGACGCAGUUAAACGUGCACAAUGGCGAGCUACCCACGGACCUGUUUCCACUUUGAAUUGUGCUUUGAAACCAUCAACUGGUAGGAGAAUUCCAUUUUUUUCCCUUGUUUUUUUGGACACAAGACUUUUAUUCGUCGAACACAUUUGAUAUUUUUGCUUCAAAAAGGAGAGAUUAUCUUUUGAACUUGAACUAAUCGAAAGAGUUCAACGACUCUUUGAACUGAAUAAUUUGAUUCACAGACUUUGGUCAACUGAGUCGUUUGAUCCAUGAACUUUGUUCGAUUGAAUCAUUUAAGAGUUUCGUGCAUUUUCAACUCGUAUUGUUGAUCAUACUGUUGAAUUUGAAAAGGAAAGUGAUUUGUUUUAAUCAACUCUAAAUCAUAUUCAGUGUUUUGAGUCAAACUGAAUAUCCAAUUAUAUUUCCUUUUGGGUUAUUGAAUAUAAUAUUUUGUUGAAGGUUAUAUUAUUGUAAAAUACCUUGCUUAAAGUGAAAGAAACAGGCACAUUGUUUUUUGAUAGUUUUCUUUAUUUUUACAUUUUGUGAAGAGUGUGAAACUUCAAAUUGAAUUGAAGCUGUCAAGUUGUUGAAUUCUUGGCCCUAUAAGAAGUGACAUAAGAGUUGGUUAACUGUUUUGAUCCUCACUGUUACCAAUCAAUUGUUCUUAUACAAAAAAAGAGAAACUUUUCCUAUAAAUACAAUUUACUAAAUCAAA